RNAcentral lists this non-coding RNA (216 nucleotides) under Pseudoxanthomonas suwonensis. RNAcentral also lists the same sequence under 1 other name. Lineage: Bacteria; Pseudomonadati; Pseudomonadota; Gammaproteobacteria; Lysobacterales; Lysobacteraceae. The record is from RNAcentral.
CACUAUGUUGUGUCUGUCGGUUCCGGUGGCCCAAGGCCACCGGAUUAAAAGGGAAGUCCGGUGGGCCGCAAGGCGAAUCCGGCACUGCCCCGCAGCGGUAACCGGAAACGAACCCGCGUCAAUGCACUGGGCCACGGGCCUGGGAAGCAGCGGCAGUAGGCGAGGCCAGGCCUCACGUCCGGAAGUCCGAAGACCUGCCGACAGCCGCGCGAAGCA